GAUCAUGGCUCGGGAUGAACGCUGGCGGCGCGCCUAACACAUGCAAGUCGAACGAGAGAUGAGGAGCUUGCUCUUCAAAUCGAGUGGCGAACGGGUGAGUAACGCGUGAGGAACCUGCCUCAAAGAGGGGGACAACAGUUGGAAACGACUGCUAAUACCGCAUAAGCCCACGGCUCGGCAUCGAGCAGGGGGAAAAGGAGCAAUCCGCUUUGAGAUGGCCUCGCGUCCGAUUAG
This 234-nucleotide ribosomal RNA is filed under the name uncultured bacterium. Its description in RNAcentral is "partial 16S ribosomal RNA". It matches the Rfam family "Bacterial small subunit ribosomal RNA", at positions 15 to 244 of the family's 1533-position model. The record is from RNAcentral.